RNAcentral lists this long non-coding RNA (1074 nucleotides) under Homo sapiens (human). Its description in RNAcentral is "non-protein coding PRKAG2-AS1:8". Lineage: Eukaryota; Metazoa; Chordata; Mammalia; Primates; Hominidae. The record is from RNAcentral.
CGUGCAGCGCCACCGUCCCGCUCCCCGUCGCCCCACGCCGCCCUCGUCGCCGCGCCCAGACCCCUGCGGCGGCCGCAGCCGCUUGGGACUCGCUGCGAGCUGGUUUCGGAUCCAUCCCGCCUCCCGGCGUCUCACUGUGUGCCCUACCCUUUGAAACACGCCCCCGCGCCCGCCCUGCCGUAGACCAGGCAGCGAGGAAGCCCACAGUCUCCGGGGGCGCUGCGCGCGAAGUAGCACGUGCUUCUCGAAACACCGCAGCCCCCGGGUCCCGCCCCGCCCGGCGCGCGCACUCGAACCCGCCCAGAGAGCGGUGCGUGGCGCUGGGUGCGAGCAGGGUCUAGCCACCCCCACCCUCACCCCACCCCACCCCACCCUGCUUUUUUCAGGUUCAUCAAGGUUUGCGCAGUGGAUCCGCGAAUGAAGCCAGCCUGGAAGAUCCCCAGUCUCGAGACAGAGCCUGACAGGGGCAGAUGCACUGGAAGGACCCUGUCUGGGUUUAGCAACCAAGCAGCCAUCCUGGCCCCACAGGUGUGGGACUUCUGGGUCUUCUCCUGGCUGGCUUCUUGCUAGAGGAUUUCAAGAGACCCAGCAAGACUGUAUUGUCCCACUGAAUGCUCAAGAUAUUGGUUAGAAGUAGAAAAGGGGAGGGGGUAGUAUUUAGCCUCUGUCCCCACUAAAAAUUAUUCCCAAUUGUCAUUUGUGUCAUCUGUUUAGCUUACAGUUUUAAUCCUUGUCAAAAUGAUCAUUUGCCAGGGUGCAUAAAACACCCUAUUUGAUGAGAACUGGUUUUAAAGGAAAAUGGGGCCAUCAGAAGGAAGCCGGUUGGUGUGAAGAGACGUCUGGGAAGAGCCCCUGGCGAGGGCCCUCAUUCCACUGGGUGACCCAGAAGGAGAAAACCGCGAUGGCGCUUCUCAUUUGAAAUGUUUUCUUUAUGGACAGUGUUUAGCAAUUGUUAUAAUGUGUACUUUUGUUGAUUGAUCUGUAUACAUAUGUAAAAUAAUUUGUUCUCUGAGUUAAUUUUGUUGGAACAAAGACUUUAGUGCUUCCUACAUUAAAACAUUUUACUGUAUUGCC